This 87-nucleotide ribosomal RNA is filed under the name Actinomycetota bacterium. Its description in RNAcentral is "Actinobacteria bacterium partial 16S ribosomal RNA". It matches the Rfam family "Bacterial small subunit ribosomal RNA", at positions 1 to 87 of the family's 1533-position model. The record is from RNAcentral. Lineage: Bacteria; Bacillati; Actinomycetota.
UUCACGGAGAGUUUGAUCCUGGCUCAGGACGAACGCUGGCGGCGUGCUUAACACAUGCAAGUCGAACGAUGAACCACCUUCGGGUGG